CCUACGGGGGGCAGCAGUGAGGAAUAUUGGUCAAUGGGCGAGAGCCUGAACCAGCCAAGUCGCGUGAAGGAUGAAGGAUCUAUGGUUUGUAAACUUCUUUUAUAGGGGAAUAAAGUGAGGAACGUGUUCCUUUUUGUAUGUACCAUAUGAAUAAGCAUCGGCUAACUCCGUGCCAGCAGCCGCGGUAAUACGGAGGAUGCGAGCGUUAUCCGGAUUUAUUGGGUUUACAGGGGGCGUAGGUGGUUAAUUAAGGCAGCGGUGCAAGUUUGUGGCUCAACCCUAAAAUUGCCGUUGAAACUGGUUGCCUUGCGUAUAUUUGAGGUAGGCGUCAUGCGUGGUGUAGCUGU
This 347-nucleotide ribosomal RNA is filed under the name uncultured bacterium. Its description in RNAcentral is "partial 16S ribosomal RNA". It matches the Rfam family "Bacterial small subunit ribosomal RNA", at positions 338 to 682 of the family's 1533-position model. The record is from RNAcentral.